CACCUACUGAAGGAAGUUCUCAAGUUUUGAUUGAGUUCUAAAAGUUUUUUGAAGAUUGGAAUUCUUCAUAUGUAAAAAGAGAAAAAUACAUUCUUGAUUUUGGUGACUAGAGUUGUGGACGCCGGAAAGCUCUGCCACUAAGAUUGAUGAACCAGACGCAUGUCACUGACCAGUCACAGAUUCUUAAUGCCGGCACCAUGGCCUGGCACUGUCACGUUUUCCAGGGAACCUGCCCGAGCUCCUGCAGAAGCUGCUCCUCGGGCCAAUGGAGUCCCUUAGCUGGUAGGCCCUUCUUUAGUCACCACAGGAUGCCUGCUGUUCAUGAACAGGAAGGAGAGGAUGGGCUUUGAAUAAAACACAGGUAACUAAGUUUCCCAACUGCUUUUCUUUGAUUAAGAUUUCAGUCUUGGCUGGGCAUGGUGGCUCACGCCUGUAAUCUCAGUAUUUUGGGAGGCCGAAGUGGGCAGAUCACGAAGUCAGGAGAUUGAGACCAUCCCUGGCCAACAUGGAGAAACCCUGUCUCUACUGAAAAAAUACAAAAUUAGCCGGGCGUGGUGGCGCAUGCCUGUAACCCAGCUACUCGGGAGGCUGAGGUAGGAGAAUCACUUGAACCCAAGAGGUGGAGGUUGCGGUGAGUGGAGAUCACGCCAUUGCAAUCCAGCCUGAGCAACAAGAGCAAAACUCCUUCUCAAAAAAAAAAAAAAAAAAAAACUCCUCCGAGUUGCACAUGGCUUGUCCGCUUGUCCCUGCUUGGCUACAGACUGUGUGCUCAGUCUGCUUCUAGGACCUUUACGCAAGUGUCUGGCCUGCAUCAGUGUGAAUGCUUGUUCUUGGAAUGCUUGCCCACAGCUCCCCUGGGUUGACUUCUUCUGGGAAGCUCUCGAGUAGCUGGGAUUACAGGCAUGCACCACCAUGCCCGGCUAAUUUUCUGUAUUUUUAGUAGAGACGGAGUUUCUCCAUGAUUUUCAUUUUUUAAAUGCUUUUUUGAGAUUUGUUUUGUGGCCUAAAAUGUGGUCUAUCCUGGAGAAUGUUUUGUGAGCUGAUGAGAAGAACGUAGGUUCUGAAGUUGGUGGGUGAAAUAUUCUGUAAUUACCUGUCAGGUCCCUCUGACUUCUAUUUUGGUGUGUAAGUCUGGUCUUCGUUGCUUUUCUGCCUAGAGGGUGUGUCUGUUGCUAAGAGUGGGUGUUGGAGUCCCCAGCUAUUGUUGCCUGUCUCUGUUUUUCGAUGACUCUUACUUUAAUAACUGGGGCUCCUGCGUCAGCUGUGUUUACAUUGACAGCUGUUCCACCCUCUUGCUGAAUUGAUCCCUUUAUCAUUUUAUAAUGACCUUUAUUUUCUAUUUUUGUGCUUUCUAGACUUAAAGCCCAUUUUGUGUGACAAGCAUAGCAGUGGUGACUCCUUUCCUUUCUGAUCUUCACCAAACCUCGCUUCUUCACAUUUACCGAAAUGUCUACUUAGAGCCAUGGCACCUCUUUGAAUUUUCACAUCUACUGCAUGGUGAUGGUAGAUUUCCUUUUCAUCUGUACUCUGAAGGAAUCCCAAACAGGCAUUUUUACAAGUCUAGGAAGGAAACAUAAAUCUAUGUGUCAAAAGAAUGAAUAUAGAAAAUAACGUGUCCUGGUUAACAAAAGUUCUCAUUGUAAAGUGUUAUGCACAAGAUUAUGGAAUUUUAUGUGCCAUAAAUGAAGUUGUCUUCAUUUGUCUAAAACUACUUUUAAAAAUUACAUGUUACUUUAAUAAAGGUUUUUUUUGAGAAUUUGGUGACUUAUUAUUUCCUAGACCUCUCUAAUUUCAUAUUAAAUUCCAGCAUAUUUUGUUUUUGUAUUUGGCUUUCACAUCAUAAAUUACUUAGUUCAUAAUUAAACAUUUUGAAUGGAUCUAAUGGAUUGUGUGGUUGUCUAAAUGUUAAGAGUCUGAAGACCUCAAGUGGGCAGGAGCUGGGCAGGGGGAGGAUCACGGUGCAGGCAGGAC
RNAcentral lists this long non-coding RNA (1971 nucleotides) under Cercocebus atys (sooty mangabey). RNAcentral's name for it is "lncRNA (ENSCATG00000045905.1)". The record is from RNAcentral. Lineage: Eukaryota; Metazoa; Chordata; Mammalia; Primates; Cercopithecidae.